RNAcentral lists this unclassified non-coding RNA (3183 nucleotides) under Dimorphilus gyrociliatus. RNAcentral's name for it is "phosphotransferase". Lineage: Eukaryota; Metazoa; Annelida; Polychaeta; Dinophilidae. The record is from RNAcentral.
ACCUGGAGCUUUCUUGUUGCAGUCAACUGACAGAAUCGUUAACUUCUUUCAAUUUCACUUCUUCCAUUUGGAAAGAAAAAGAGAAAAGACUUUGAAAAGACUUUCAAAAAAGAAGAAAAUUAAAAAUUCAAUUUUUAUUCAAGUUUUUAUUUGAUUUGUUUUGUUGUUAUUAUUUUUGGUAAGAAAAAAGAAAUCUAUAUAGUUUAUAAUUUUAUAGGAAAUAUAAAAAGAUCUGACCUAAUUCUGAUACUUUAAUCCAGUUAGUGAAACAAUUUGAGAGAAGGAAGGAGAUAGAUAGACAGACAGACAGAUAAUGAAUCAAUCAGUUAGAUAGAGAGAAGAAAAGGAAAUUGAUCUACAACUCAAGAAAGAAGUACACAAAAUGGCACAUUUAAUGAAUAUUAACGUUCCUCAAACUCUCCUAAAGAAGAUUAGUAAGAACAUUAUAUUAGAGGAGGAAGAUUUCCUUAAGGUAUGUAAAAUAUUUCGUCAAGAAGCUAAGGAUGGUCUGAAUAAAGAUAAGACAAAGAGGAAAUCAUUACAAAUGGAAAAUACUUUUGUCAGACAUCUAUUAGAUGGCGCUGAAUGUGGAGAUUAUAUGGCUUUAGACUUGGGUGGAACAAACUUUAGAGUUCUUUUAUGUAAGAUGAGAAAUGGAGAAUUACGAGAAACCAAAGUAAAAAACUAUAAUUUAGAGAAGGAAGUGUUAAGAGGACCAUCGGACGGAGUUUUUGAUCAUAUUGCCAAUAGUAUUGCGAAAUUCCUUACUGAAUUCAAUAUACAAAAUAAUAAUAUUCCUCUGGGCUUUACAUUCUCCUUCCCUAUGAGCCAAUUUGGAUUGAAUAAAGGUGUUCUUGUUACUUGGACAAAAACCUUCAAGUGUCCGGAUGGAGUUGGUAAAAAUGCUGUUGAAAUGUUGGAAGAUGCUUUGAAGCGAAAGAAAGUUACAAAAGUUAAAGUUGUGGCAAUAUUGAAUGAUACUACUGGAACGUUAUUGGCCGGAUCUUAUUUAGAUCAUAAAUGUUCAAUUGGACUUAUACUUGGUACUGGAUUCAAUGCGGCUUAUGUUGAAAAUGCCGCAAAUGUUAAACGUUGGGGAAAUGAAGAAAUGGGUGAUACGAAACAGGUGGUUAUUGAUACUGAAUGUGGCGCUUUUGGAGAUAAUGGAAGUUUGGAUUUCUUCAAGUCUGAAGAAGACUUUCUUCUUGACAAGCAUUCUAAUCAUAUUGGAUCUUUUACUUUUGAAAAAUUGUUUGCUGGCCACUACGUGGGAGAUCUUGUUAGACUUCACUUGAAAAGUUUAAACUCUGCAGGUACUUUCUUAUCGGAACCAUGCGAAGCCUUGAAACAAUGGGGUCAUUUUAAUGGCAGGCACGUGACUGAUAUAGAAAAGGGACACAACGUCGAAGAAAUUUUGCAGAAUUUACUCAAAGUUAAAGUUAGCAAAGAUGAUUGUUUAAUUGCUCGAUAUAUCUGCCGGGCAAUAUCGAUAAGAUGUUGCCAACUCGUAUCGGCAAUCAUCCUUGAACUAGGCAGCAUAAUGGAAAGAAAUCAUGUAACCGUUGCAAUUGACGGAUCCUGGUAUAGGCAUCACCCUAAAAUGAAAUCAGACAUGGAGAAAAUCUUGAAAGAAUUCGAUAAGAAUAGAGUUUACGAAUUUAUUCUAGCUGAUGACGGUUCGGGUAAAGGAGCGGCUUUCGUUGCCGCGGUUGCUACUGGCCUUGAAAAAGACUAAUUUUUAUACAUAAACAUUUGUUUAAGUCAUUACAACAAACUUUAGAAUAUACUGUACUUUUUCUUUUAAUUUUUAAAUCUUUAUAUCUUCUUUUAUCUAAUCAUUUGUAUUUAAUAUAAGACUUUGUUUAUAAGCCAUAUAGAAAGGAAAGAGGAAAGGAAGUGUAAUGAUAAAGAAUUUCCUUCGCAUUUCACUUCUUCAUCUUUCUUGUAUCGGUAAUCUAAAUGCUCUCUUAAUCCAUAUGGAUAAUCUGUAAAUAGGCCGUCAACUUUCUCCUUAAUAUAGGCAUCGUACUGUCUUCUUACAUCGUCCCCAUAUAUCCAAGGAAUAGAACGAUCUUCAACCGUAAAUGUCCAUACAUGAACUUUCAUAUUUUUAUCGUGAACUCGUUUUACUAAACCAGUUGAUUCUCCAGUCGAUAUUUUUGAACCACCUCCAAAAAAUACGGCGGCCUUUGUUACACCAACACCAGCUGCAUAUUUUGAAAGACUGUCCAGAAAGAAGUCAGUAAUAAGCGGCAGUGGUGUUAAGAAUAUAACGGGAAUCUUUGUUAACUUUGAUAAUUCUUCAGCAGUUUCUUCUUCAAAACUUUGUAAAUAGCACGGUCUCUUUUCUCCAUCGUAUCCAUGGUCGUGUAAGAUUUUAACAACUAUCUUUUCAAAAGACGUAUUCUGACUGUUUAAUAAUUCAUCUUUCAGAACUUCAUUAUGCCAAGCAGAAGCUUUUAAUUCGGGAUAGAUUCCAAUUGUUCUUGACGCAUUUUGAGCUAUUGAAAUAUAAUCUUCUAAACUAAGAAAUCUAUAUCGUAGAUUAUAAUUAGGAUUUCUCCCAGAUGACGAUUUUCUCUUUAUUUUCAAUCUUCUCAACUCUUGCCAAGUGAAGUCAACUGUGUAAUAAUCUCUCGCUGGAAACCCUAAACCUGGUAUAUCAUGAUAGUUAGAUUUGUUGUGAAAUUCAGGAUAAGAAUGAACGUCAGUUGUCGCAUUUAAAUAACAAUCAUGAUGGCAAACUGGAACUAAGUCUUUUGAUAGACAAAUAUCACAUUCGAUAAAGUGCGCUCCCUGUUCAAUAGCUAAUUUGUAUGAGACUUCUGUAUGGUCAGGCCGUUCCCCAGACGCUCCUCUAUGGGCAAUAUUCAAAGGAGUCUUGACUGAAAUUCCUGGAAGUCCAUGGUUGAAUACUGGCAAAUCAGUUAGGGUAUUAAUAAUAUUAGAAAAAUCCAAUACGAAUAGAAGGAGAACCGCCAACUUCAUUUUAAAAAUGUAAUAUGAUAAAAAAAAAGCAAGAUAAAUUUACGUCACUUAAAAAUCACUGAUGAAGUGUCUCCUUCAGUAUCCAUCAUAAAGAUAUAUUUAUUAAUCAAUUCUCUACAGGUAUGUAUGAAUAGAUAUACUGUAUAUAAAGUUAUAAUAAAAUAAUAAACAUACUAAUAUUAAUAAAUAUAUAGA